UUCUCUGUCUUAUGAGGUCUCUUCAUGGUGGCUUAUGGGAACAGAAUUCCGUGGGCUUCAAGAAUUCGGGGUGCAUUGCUUUCUAGUUUUGAAUGUUUGCACCCUUUCCUGGUGUCCUGUUUUCUCUCACACACGUGCAGAUCAGUAUUCACCCACUGUGCCUCGGGGCAGGCGUCUCCUCUCUAAGGUGCUCCAGCUGGCUCUCUAGCCUUCUCGGUGUCCCCCAUCUAAGUGAGACCCCUUCCCCCGGGCUCUCCUCCAUCCCCCUCCCCCACACUCAGCCUGAAAAGCGCCUACCGCCAAUCAGGUGAAGCAAUCCCGGAAUUCACCGUGGAUUUCUGCCCUAGGCUCAGCGUGAUCGCCUGUGCUGUUAUCCAAGCUCUGAUACCACGUGUCCUUGGGCUUGCCAACAUUUUAGUUAGUUAAAGAAGACAGAAGAUCCCUGGAGUCUCUGGCAUUCUGUCAUGGGCAGGAGCAAAUUAAUUCUAUACCAUGGUAUUUAACAUUAGGAUCAUUUUACUGAAUAGCAGAUUCUGGUCAGUUUUGAAUUUUAUGACACAGCUUACUAAAUAUCUUUCAAAACUGUGCCCUUGUUCAUUUAUUUAUCACACAACUGUCUGUUCUCUCCUUUGCUGCAGGAUACGAAUAAAGCAGGGAAUGAAACAGGUAAGGUCACAGUCUCAGAAGCUUUUACUCGAGCAAGGGAAGACAGGUAGAAUAUAAAAUAGUAAAUACACAACAAGCCUUGGCGUGAGUGCAUCGGUGCUGUAAAACAACAUGUGUUGGUGAGCAACCAGGGCGGCUAUUUACGAGUGUUUAAGGAAGUCCUCCCUGCAAGGCUGAUGUGAUCGGACUCAUCGGUCAGAACAACCGUGUGCACAUCUGGGCGUAGCGUGUUCCAGGCAGAGGGAACAAUAACUCAUCACAGCAGCCCAGGAAAGUAGCAAGCUUGAACUAGUGGAGAAGCAGGGAGAAUGGUUUGGUUGGAGUAGAGUGAGCUAGGGAGGCGAGGCUUUGUGGGGUGAAGAGUCUUGAGCAGUGUGUAUGGUAUUGGACUCAUUAUACGUUAAAUAAUGCACUUACUUAAACCUAUCCUACGUUAGGUUUUUAUUUUUAAAAUGCUCUAUCAUCAUUUAUACUGCAACAAACAUUUGUGUUAUGUUCUGUGUUUAGAAUGAUUUUAAUGGGCGGAAUUCCAGGACUGGAAUGGAAGAAUGUGAGGCUGUUGGUGGUCCCAGGACCCCUGCUACACCACAGUACCCUGUGGACGCUGAUGGUGACUUACACUGGGGACUGGGGGGCACCUCCCCAGGAACCUGGGAGGGACACCCAUACAUAGCACUAGUCAAGAACCACGUGGGAUAUAAAGCACUGGCCUCACAAGGCACCGACAUUCCUGCUCACUGUGGGACAUGGCUGGGUGCUUUUUCUACUCUUGAGUUCCUGGAAGGAUCAGGUUGAGGCCACAUUUCUGGGGACACCACAUUCCUGCUUGGCACCUCUCCUUUCCCGUCUUACUCCUUCCCUGCCUUUCAGGUUUCAUCAGGUCACCUGCAUCACAAUGCCCCACCUGGCUCUGCCCCCAGGGAGACCAAACUAAGACAGAAUAUAAACUUUUUGAAGACUUCCAAUUUCUUAAAUUUCUGUUACUAGAAAUAACACAUCCACUGAAGAUGAUUAGAAAUGUGCCCAGUCACCAAAAAGGACAGAAAGCAUUGGAGGUGUGGGAGGUGGCAGGUGGGUAGUGGAAAGAUGAGCCAGGAUCUCAGAUGAAGGGAGAAUUGUAACUUCCUGUAGACUGAAUACCUUGACACUUAAUCCCCAGUGUGAUGUUGGGGCGGGGUGGGAGGAUACGAAUCAUGAGGGUGGGAGGUGAUCAGGUCAUGAGGAUGGAGCCCUUAUGAACAGGAUUUGUGCCCUCUAUAAAAGAGGCCCCAGAGAGUGCUGGCCUUCUGCCACAUGAACACACACCAAAGCGGCUUCUUUGGACCAGGAAUCAGGACCUCACCAGACACGAAGCUGUUGGAGUCUUGAUCUCGGACUUCCCAGUCUCCAGAAUGGACUCUCCUGUUUGUUGCUGUGUCCAGUGUCUCAAGUUCUAAAGACAAGAGAACAGAAACAUGAACGUCGAGGAUGGAAGAGGGGUAACAGGAAAGAAGGGUCAGUACACAGCCGCGGGCAUCGGGGAGACCAGCACCCUGGGAGGCUGAGGCAAGGGGCUGCAAAGCUGAGCCCAGCCUGCCACGAUGCUUCCCCUGGCUGGAAUAAUUGAACACUGACUUGCCAAGAACUCAAACCGCCUUUCAGAGCAGCUAGGGAGCUGCCGCGAUGACGCCCCAUGGUGAUGGCUCUCGGGAAGAUGCAUCAUCCCCAGGGACACAGUGGUGGUGAUUGCAGCAUUUAUAAGCAGUGAAUCACACAGCAAGGCAUGCUGCGCCAGGGGGACAGACCCAGAUCUGGAUUGGAUGGUUUCCCAAGCCAGAGUCACCCAACAGGCCCGGGAAGCUUGUGAAUCCUCUCCGGGGGUGUGAUUACCAAGGCCAAUGCACGCCAUGAGCCAGCACAAAUGCCCUGCUGAGAAUCCAGGCCGGGACAUGUGGGGACAAGACUUGUGCUCAAAGGGCUACAGCAGAGUCUGUGGGCCACAGUUCCUGCCUGUGCUGCUCCCAGCACAAGAGGAGGCACUGGAUUGUGGUGUGGUGGAGACAACAGGGACCAGAGGCAGGAGGAGUGGCUUGGCCCCAGCCUCAGAGAAGUGGCGCCAUGUUGCCAUUCCUUGGCACAGAGAAGCAGACAAGUCUACUGGAAAAACAGAGGUCCCUUGAGGUGAUAGAAGCUAGAAGAUUCUGCUUCCCUGAUCGAUGACACUGAACCUUGGCUUGGGAGGUAAUGGAUCAAGGAUACAAGGAACAAGAAGCCCCCAACCCACCCCACCCCAGGAUCUGCUGCUGUAAUGCAACUUCAGGGAGUCCCCUCGUCAUAUGCCAAAGACACUGAGAGAUUGGGAGCAGUGGUGGAGGUGCUCCACGAACUAAAGGGCUCUUAAGUUCCUCUCAUUCCUGUCAUUCUGUGAUUCUAGUUUAAUGUGCAGACAGGACAAACAUGGCUCAAAACUACAUAAGCAACAAGACACGGGGAGCAAAGCAAUGGGGUACUACUCACCGAGACAUGAAGUGGUCAAGUCGAGCUUUGCCUUCCUGCCUGGAGCGUGACCUUUAUCACCUGUGGUCCUCAGCCAGGCCACAGACAGCUGGUGGCAGGGUCGAGGAUGGGAAAUCAGGGCUGAACACAGAGGAGGAGGGCGUGAGAACAGGCAGAGGAGCCUUCCCGGAAGUUCAGAGAGCUGGGUAUAAAAGAAAUUGGAAGGAGAAAAUUCUGAAAAAAGCCUUUUUUUUUUUUUUUUUUUUCUUUUUUAAAACUGAAAGCUGCAAAUCUUUUCUCCCUGGAAAGGGAUACUGUGCUGUUGAUUCAUCCAGAUUUGAACUUCAUGAAAGCUGAGAUGAUCCAAUCUUUGUCCUGCAGAGAAAGAGCUGGUGUGAGGGAGGGGAGGAUGGAGAAGGUUCAGGGCCCCCCUGGGCCUUCUAUGAGCCAAACCCCUAUCCCAGGUCCCUCUCCUGUAAAAGCACGAGCGCUUGCCAUGUGGAUGCACAGGAGCUUCUUCUAUGAGGGUUGCUCAGUGAGCACCUCUGGGCAAUCUUUGCAGGGCCGGCCAGGAGAGGGAGAGGUUUGUGCGGUCUCCUCUGGUGGCUGGAGCAGACUGAGGGUCUGAGCAGGUUCACUGAGCACCUCCUGCCUGGGUUCUGUUGUUCAAGUCCAGCCUGGGCCACUUAGUAAUCAUGACUCCUUGAAUAAGUUGCUUGACCUCUCUGAUCUCAUGUGAUGCUUGGUUCUCACAUGGGGUCAAUCACUUAUUUAAACAGGCUUGGACUGAGAAUCCAGUGUAAGGCCAGAGGUGGUGCCUUAACCCUGAAUUCGUGUCUUCUUGUCAUCCAAGUUAUAGGCAAAUGAGUGAAACUGAUUUCAAAAAGUGAAAUAUAUCAUGUGAAUAAAAUUUCUAGUAGAUUGA
Molecule: long non-coding RNA, 4066 nt
Organism: Cavia porcellus (domestic guinea pig)
Lineage: Eukaryota; Metazoa; Chordata; Mammalia; Rodentia; Caviidae
Exons: 3
Source: RefSeq, a predicted model, not a curated record